Molecule: ribosomal RNA, 428 nt
Filed under: uncultured prokaryote
Description: bacterial SSU rRNA
Rfam family: Bacterial small subunit ribosomal RNA
Source: RNAcentral
UGAGGAAUUUUGCGCAAUGGGAGCAAUCCUGACGCAGCAACGCCGCGUGGGUGAUGAAGGCCUUCGGGUCGUAAAGCCCUGUCAGGUGGGAAGAAUGUCUCGGGACUGAACAGGUUCCGGGAGUGACGGUACCACCAGAGGAAGCACCGGCUAACUACGUGCCAGCAGCCGCGGUAAUACGGAGGGUGCAAGCGUUAUUCGGAAUUACUGGGCGUAAAGCGCGUGUAGGCGGUCCUGCAAGUCUGAUGUGAAAGCCCCGGGCGUAACCCGGGAAGUGCAUUGGAAACUGGGGGACUUGAGUACUGGAGGGGAUGGGGGAAUUCCCGGUGUAGAGGUGAAAUUCGUAGAGAUCGGGAGGAAUAUCAGUGGCGAAGGCGCCCAUCUGGACGGUAACUGACGCUGAGACGCGAAAGCGUGGGGAGCAAACA